UGGGGAAUUUUGGACAAUGGGCGAAAGCCUGAUCCAGCAAUGCCGCGUGCAGGAUGAAGGCCCUCGGGUUGUAAACUGCUUUUGUACGGAACGAAAAGCCUGGGGCUAAUACCCCCGGGUCAUGACGGUACCGUAAGAAUAAGCACCGGCUAACUACGUGCCAGCAGCCGCGGUAAUACGUAGGGUGCAAGCGUUAAUCGGAAUUACUGGGCGUAAAGCGUGCGCAGGCGGUUAUGUAAGACAGAGGUGAAAUCCCCGGGCUCAACCUGGGAACGGCCUUUGUGACUGCAUAGCUAGAGUACGGUAGAGGGGGAUGGAAUUCCGCGUGUAGCAGUGAAAUGCGUAGAUAUGCGGAGGAACACCGAUGGCGAAGGCAAUCCCCUGGACCUGUACUGACGCUCAUGCACGAAAGCGUGGGGAGCAAACA
RNAcentral lists this ribosomal RNA (427 nucleotides) under uncultured bacterium. Its description in RNAcentral is "bacterial SSU rRNA". It matches the Rfam family "Bacterial small subunit ribosomal RNA", at positions 355 to 774 of the family's 1533-position model. The record is from RNAcentral.